This 391-nucleotide ribosomal RNA is filed under the name uncultured bacterium. RNAcentral's name for it is "bacterial SSU rRNA". It matches the Rfam family "Bacterial small subunit ribosomal RNA", at positions 505 to 898 of the family's 1533-position model. The record is from RNAcentral.
GUGUCAGCAGCCGCGGUAAUACGGAGGAUCCAAGCGUUAUCCGGAAUCAUUGGGUUUAAAGGGUCCGUAGGCGGCCUUAUAAGUCAGUGGUGAAAUCUCCUAGCUCAACUAGGAAACUGCCAUUGAUACUGUAGGGCUUGAAUUUUGGUGAAGUAACUAGAAUAUGUAGUGUAGCGGUGAAAUGCUUAGAUAUUACAUGGAAUACCAAUUGCGAAGGCAGGUUACUAACCAACGAUUGACGCUGAUGGACGAAAGCGUGGGGAGCGAACAGGAUUAGAUACCCUGGUAGUCCACGCCGUAAACGAUGGAUACUAGCUGUUUGGUUUUCGGACUGAGUGGCUAAGCGAAAGUGAUAAGUAUCCCACCUGGGGAGUACGCACGCAAGUGUGAA